Molecule: non-coding RNA, 221 nt
Organism: Phascolarctos cinereus (koala)
Lineage: Eukaryota; Metazoa; Chordata; Mammalia; Diprotodontia; Phascolarctidae
Source: RefSeq, a predicted model, not a curated record
AGUAUUCUUUUCCCUGGGACCAUGCCAUCCACCUAAAGAUGAGAGAAAGAAGGGGCACUGGAACACUGGGUACCUGGGGCACAGCUCCUCACUUUUACCAUGAAGCAAGUAAUACCAGGUCUACCUCGAGGGGAUUUCGAAGUAAUUCUUUGAAGUCUUAGGAAAAACUAAUGCCUCACAAAAUCAAAGGUGAAGAAACUGAGGCAAACAGGAUUAAGUGA